UACAGAGGUCCCAAGCGUUGUUCGGAUUCACUGGGCGUAAAGGGUGCGUAGGUGGUCGGGUAAGUCUGAUGUGAAAUCUCUGGGCUCAACCCAGAAAUGGCAUUGGAUACUAUUCGGCUAGAGGAGUGGAGGGGGGACUGGAAUACUUGGUGUAGCAGUGAAAUGCGUAGAUAUCAAGUGGAACACCAGUGGCGAAGGCGAGUCCCUGGACACUUCCUGUCACUGAGGCACGAAAGCUAGGGGAGCAAACAGG
RNAcentral lists this ribosomal RNA (253 nucleotides) under uncultured bacterium. Its description in RNAcentral is "partial 16S ribosomal RNA". It matches the Rfam family "Bacterial small subunit ribosomal RNA", at positions 524 to 776 of the family's 1533-position model. The record is from RNAcentral.